This 253-nucleotide ribosomal RNA is filed under the name uncultured bacterium. RNAcentral's name for it is "partial 16S ribosomal RNA". It matches the Rfam family "Bacterial small subunit ribosomal RNA", at positions 524 to 776 of the family's 1533-position model. The record is from RNAcentral.
UACGGAGGGUGCAAGCGUUAUCCGGAUUCACUGGGUUUAAAGGGUGCGUAGGUGGGUUGGUAAGUCAGUGGUGAAAUCUCUGAGCUUAACUCAGAAACUGCCAUGGAUACUAUUUGUCUUGAAUAUUGUGGAGGUAAGCGGAAUAUGUCAUGUAGCGGUGAAAUGCUUAGAUAUGACAUAGAACACCAAUUGCGAAGGCAGCUUACUACACAGUUAUUGACGCUGAGGCACGAAAGCGUGGGGAUCAAACAGG